UACGGGGGGAGCAAGCGUUUGUUCGGAUUUACUGGGCGUAAAGGGCGCGUAGGCGGUCGUGACAAGUCACUUGUGAAAUCUCCGGGCUUAACUCGGAACGGUCAAGUGAUACUGUCGGACUAGAGUACAGAAGGGGGCAACUGGAAUUCUCGGUGUAGCGGUGAAAUGCGUAGAUAUCGAGAGGAACACCUGCGGCGAAGGCGGGUUGCUGGGCUGAUACUGACGCUGAGGCGCGGAAAGCCAGGGGAGCGAACGGG
RNAcentral lists this ribosomal RNA (257 nucleotides) under uncultured bacterium. RNAcentral describes it as "partial 16S ribosomal RNA". It matches the Rfam family "Bacterial small subunit ribosomal RNA", at positions 524 to 776 of the family's 1533-position model. The record is from RNAcentral.